RNAcentral lists this long non-coding RNA (1413 nucleotides) under Helianthus annuus (common sunflower). The record is from RNAcentral. Lineage: Eukaryota; Viridiplantae; Streptophyta; Magnoliopsida; Asterales; Asteraceae.
AAAAGUUGAGACAUAUACCAUCUAUAAGAUCCAAUCACCUCCCCAUCUUUACAAAACAAAACCUUAUCUUCUCAAAUCCCUCUCUAAAAUACACACACACAUUACACAAACUCAAAAUCACACCAUCAGACUCCCCUUCCUCCUUCCCCUUCUUCUUCGAUUUCAAAACCACAACCAGACACCCCCUUUCUCUUCUCUCUGUUCAAUCGCCGGCGACCAGGAGCCGGUCACCGGUGCCGGCCGUCGCACACCCCCCCCCCUCUUCGUUAAUCACCCACCACACCACCCACCUUCGCGCAAAUCAGAGACAAAGACGAGAGAGAAAGAGAGACGAGACAGAGAGAGAGAGAGAGCGCCGGAGAUAGGAGCGGCACCGCCGCUCACGGCGGCGGCGGUGGAGCCGACGACGACAACAGCAGAACCGUCGUGGCGGUGACGACUCUCAGGCGACACGUUUUCAUAUCCGAUUGGCCCGAAAAUGACGGUAGUGUUAAGGUUGAGCUGAUGAAGAGGGUGGUGUUGGUGUUAUUUCGGGCUCGGCUUGGUUCGGUUCGGGUGUAGGUGCACUUCAGAUUAGUUUUCGGGUUUUUCAAGUCAACUCUCAACAGUGGUUCAAGUCGUGCUUCAGGUUAAAGUGAGCCAGGUUCAGAUGGUUGUACAGCAGAUUUGGGUCUCAGCUCAGAUCGGGUUCGGUUCGGUCAACAACGGGUCUUGGUUUCGGUGUCAGAUUAUGAAGCGGUUCAGUUGACUCGGUCAAACCGAGUUAACUCGGUCAACACGGUCAAACCGAGUCAACUCCGUUGACUCGGUCAACUCGGUCAGCCUACUCGACUAAGCGACGUGAGAAUUUCGGUAAUAGAUUAAAAGAAAUGAUUUUGUUACAUUAUAUUUCUAGUUUAAACUUACGGAUAUUGUAGAAUGCACGCCAGCGAGUCUCAUCUUGGAAACGACAUCACGAAGUCGUAAUUAGCUAGCUUCGCACAAGGCAAUUCAGGUUGCAUUUCAAAGUCGAGGCACGGUUGGAAUAGGGGGACCAUUGGGGAUUCGAGUACUUAGCGGGCGUUCAAUUUCUAGAUAGUCUAUGCUUAUUUGCUUCCGCUGUGCAAUAAAGAUACCAUUCCAGUCACACCAGCUCUGAUAAUUUCAGGGUGUGACAAGCGGAAGCAUAAGUUCAAAAACCAAAAAUAUAAGUCAAACGUUUUAUAAGUUUAUCAUGAACACACAACGGUUCAUGUCCCACGACGACUCCUUCCCCAUGCAAGCUCCAACAAAUAACCUAACGACCUGCAAGACAUAUAAUAACGAAUCAACAACAAAGUUGAGCGAGUUCACAGUUGGGUGUUCGUUUUAAGUUGUUUCAAAAACAUUGUUUUCCUUUAGCUGGCUUACUGGCCAUGGGGGUUACCCCAUAGU